CCUGGUCUGGUGGUGUCCAGUUUGCAAAUUAACUCCAAUUCUGCAGUUUCUCAUUGGACUCUGUUUUUGAAGAUUUUUUGUUGGAGGAGUAUUGCGACUUUAAGGUCUGUAAAUGAGUAACCACGGAGGCUGAAGUGUUCUCCAACUUUAUUUUUUGAAUGUUACAAUUCUUGAUGUCUGAUUUGUGUC
Molecule: non-coding RNA, 189 nt
Organism: Chelonoidis abingdonii (Abingdon island giant tortoise)
Lineage: Eukaryota; Metazoa; Chordata; Testudines; Testudinidae
Source: RefSeq, a predicted model, not a curated record